RNAcentral lists this ribosomal RNA (489 nucleotides) under uncultured bacterium. RNAcentral describes it as "partial 16S ribosomal RNA". It matches the Rfam family "Bacterial small subunit ribosomal RNA", at positions 28 to 507 of the family's 1533-position model. The record is from RNAcentral.
GACGAACGCUGGCGGCGUGCUUAACACAUGCAAGUCGAACGGUGAAGGGAUCAGCUUGCUGGUUCUGGAUGAGUGGCGAACGGGUGAGUAACACGUGAGUAACCUGCCCCCUUCUUCUGGAUAACCGCAUGAAAGUGUGGCUAAUACGGGAUAUUCUGGGUCUGUCGCAUGAUGGGUCUGGGAACGAUAUUGUUUCGGUGGGGGAUGGGCUCGCGGCCUAUCAGCUUGUUGGUGGGGUGAUGGCCUACCAAGGCGGUGACGGGUAGCCGGACUGAGAGGGGGGACGGUCACACUGGGACUGAGACACGGCGCAGACUCCUACGGGAGGCAGCAGUGGGGAAUAUUGCACAAUGGGCGCAAGCCUGAUGCAGCGACGCCGCGUGAGGGAUGGAGGCCUUCGGGUUGUAAACCUUUUUCGCCAGUGAAGCAGGCCUGCUCCGUGUGGGUGGGUUGACGGUAGCUGGAUAAGAAGCGCCGGCUAACUACGUG